UCACAGCAAUUCAACAACAAAAACUGAAAAUCCACUUGAACUGAUCUCGAAUUAAACAAAUAGGUCAAAAGUGUGUGCAUACCUUCCAUAGCUCUGAAUUAGGUUUUGUUCGCUAAGCAAUCUCAAUCCAUCUUGCGUUAUAUACGGUGAAAUUAAACGUUGUAAAGUUCUAAAUUAAGAAAAAUCCAAGAGAUUUGUGACGAAGAUUUUGUAAUUGAAAUCAUAUAAACUCACCUUGAUAAGAUUUUGGCAGCGCCAUUUCAGACAGAGGAUAACUUUUUGGAUUAGGUUUUGUGAGGAAAAUAAGGAAUCGUACCUGCUAGUGAUGUAUACCUGAAUAGAUUAACCUGAUGGAACAUUGGAUUUUA
Molecule: long non-coding RNA, 368 nt
Filed under: Helianthus annuus (common sunflower)
Lineage: Eukaryota; Viridiplantae; Streptophyta; Magnoliopsida; Asterales; Asteraceae
Description: sRNA HanXRQr2_Chr03g0121981
Source: RNAcentral